GGGUUGUGAGGUUAAGCGACUAAGCGUACACGGUGGAUGCCCUGGCAGUCAGAGGCGAUGAAGGACGUGCUAAUCUGCGAUAAGCGUCGGUAAGGUGAUAUGAACCGUUAUAACCGGCGAUUUCCGAAUGGGGAAACCCAGUGUGUUUCGACACACUAUCAUUAACUGAAUCCAUAGGUUAAUGAGGCGAACCGGGGGAACUGAAACAUCUAAGUACCCCGAGGAAAAGAAAUCAACCGAGAUUCCCCCAGUAGCGGCGAGCGAACGGGGAGCAGCCCAGAGCCUGAAUCAGUGUGUGUGUUAGUGGAAGCGUCUGGAAAGGCGCGCGAUACAGGGUGACAGCCCCGUACACAAAAAUGCACAUGCUGUGAGCUCGAUGAGUAGGGCGGGACACGUGGUAUCCUGUCUGAAUAUGGGGGGACCAUCCUCCAAGGCUAAAUACUCCUGACUGACCGAUAGUGAACCAGUACCGUGAGGGAAAGGCGAAAAGAACCCCGGCGAGGGGAGUGAAAAAGAACCUGAAACCGUGUACGUACAAGCAGUGGGAGCACAGAGCAAUCUGUGUGACUGCGUACCUUUUGUAUAAUGGGUCAGCGACUUAUAUUCUGUAGCAAGGUUAACCGAAUAGGGGAGCCGAAGGGAAACCGAGUCUUAACUGGGCGUUAAGUUGCAGGGUAUAGACCCGAAACCCGGUGAUCUAGCCAUGGGCAGGUUGAAGGUUGGGUAACACUAACUGGAGGACCGAACCGACUAAUGUUGAAAAAUUAGCGGAUGACUUGUGGCUGGGGGUGAAAGGCCAAUCAAACCGGGAGAUAGCUGGUUCUCCCCGAAAGCUAUUUAGGUAGCGCCUCGUGAAUUCAUCUCCGGGGGUAGAGCACUGUUUCGGCAAGGGGGUCAUCCCGACUUACCAACCCGAUGCAAACUGCGAAUACCGGAGAAUGUUAUCACGGGAGACACACGGCGGGUGCUAACGUCCGUCGUGAAGAGGGAAACAACCCAGACCGCCAGCUAAGGUCCCAAAGUCAUGGUUAAGUGGGAAACGAUGUGGGAAGGCCCAGACAGCCAGGAUGUUGGCUUAGAAGCAGCCAUCAUUUAAAGAAAGCGUAAUAGCUCACUGGUCGAGUCGGCCUGCGCGGAAGAUGUAACGGGGCUAAACCAUGCACCGAAGCUGCGGCAGCGACGCUUAUGCGUUGUUGGGUAGGGGAGCGUUCUGUAAGCCUGCGAAGGUGUGCUGUGAGGCAUGCUGGAGGUAUCAGAAGUGCGAAUGCUGACAUAAGUAACGAUAAAGCGGGUGAAAAGCCCGCUCGCCGGAAGACCAAGGGUUCCUGUCCAACGUUAAUCGGGGCAGGGUGAGUCGACCCCUAAGGCGAGGCCGAAAGGCGUAGUCGAUGGGAAACAGGUUAAUAUUCCUGUACUUGGUGUUACUGCGAAGGGGGGACGGAGAAGGCUAUGUUGGCCGGGCGACGGUUGUCCCGGUUUAAGCGUGUAGGCUGGUUUUCCAGGCAAAUCCGGAAAAUCAAGGCUGAGGCGUGAUGACGAGGCACUACGGUGCUGAAGCAACAAAUGCCCUGCUUCCAGGAAAAGCCUCUAAGCAUCAGGUAACAUCAAAUCGUACCCCAAACCGACACAGGUGGUCAGGUAGAGAAUACCAAGGCGCUUGAGAGAACUCGGGUGAAGGAACUAGGCAAAAUGGUGCCGUAACUUCGGGAGAAGGCACGCUGAUAUGUAGGUGAAGCGACUUGCUCGUGGAGCUGAAAUCAGUCGAAGAUACCAGCUGGCUGCAACUGUUUAUUAAAAACACAGCACUGUGCAAACACGAAAGUGGACGUAUACGGUGUGACGCCUGCCCGGUGCCGGAAGGUUAAUUGAUGGGGUUAGCGCAAGCGAAGCUCUUGAUCGAAGCCCCGGUAAACGGCGGCCGUAACUAUAACGGUCCUAAGGUAGCGAAAUUCCUUGUCGGGUAAGUUCCGACCUGCACGAAUGGCGUAAUGAUGGCCAGGCUGUCUCCACCCGAGACUCAGUGAAAUUGAACUCGCUGUGAAGAUGCAGUGUACCCGCGGCAAGACGGAAAGACCCCGUGAACCUUUACUAUAGCUUGACACUGAACAUUGAGCCUUGAUGUGUAGGAUAGGUGGGAGGCUUUGAAGUGUGGACGCCAGUCUGCAUGGAGCCGACCUUGAAAUACCACCCUUUAAUGUUUGAUGUUCUAACGUGGACCCGUAAUCCGGGUUGCGGACAGUGUCUGGUGGGUAGUUUGACUGGGGCGGUCUCCUCCUAAAGAGUAACGGAGGAGCACGAAGGUUGGCUAAUCCUGGUCGGACAUCAGGAGGUUAGUGCAAUGGCAUAAGCCAGCUUGACUGCGAGCGUGACGGCGCGAGCAGGUGCGAAAGCAGGUCAUAGUGAUCCGGUGGUUCUGAAUGGAAGGGCCAUCGCUCAACGGAUAAAAGGUACUCCGGGGAUAACAGGCUGAUACCGCCCAAGAGUUCAUAUCGACGGCGGUGUUUGGCACCUCGAUGUCGGCUCAUCACAUCCUGGGGCUGAAGUAGGUCCCAAGGGUAUGGCUGUUCGCCAUUUAAAGUGGUACGCGAGCUGGGUUUAGAACGUCGUGAGACAGUUCGGUCCCUAUCUGCCGUGGGCGCUGGAGAACUGAGGGGGGCUGCUCCUAGUACGAGAGGACCGGAGUGGACGCAUCACUGGUGUUCGGGUUGUCAUGCCAAUGGCACUGCCCGGUAGCUAAAUGCGGAAGAGAUAAGUGCUGAAAGCAUCUAAGCACGAAACUUGCCCCGAGAUGAGUUCUCCCUGACUCCUUGAGAGUCCUGAAGGAACGUUGAAGACGACGACGUUGAUAGGCCGGGUGUGUAAGCGCAGCGAUGCGUUGAGCUAACCGGUACUAAUGAACCGUGAGGCUUAACCUUACAACGCCGAAGCUGUU
RNAcentral lists this ribosomal RNA (2932 nucleotides) under Escherichia coli. RNAcentral's name for it is "23S ribosomal RNA". It matches the Rfam family "Bacterial large subunit ribosomal RNA". The record is from RNAcentral. Lineage: Bacteria; Pseudomonadati; Pseudomonadota; Gammaproteobacteria; Enterobacterales; Enterobacteriaceae.